This 445-nucleotide ribosomal RNA is filed under the name uncultured bacterium. RNAcentral's name for it is "partial 16S ribosomal RNA". It matches the Rfam family "Bacterial small subunit ribosomal RNA", at positions 354 to 796 of the family's 1533-position model. The record is from RNAcentral.
GUGGGGAAUUUUGGACAAUGGGCGCAAGCCUGAUCCAGCCAUGCCGCGUGCAGGAAGACGCAUCUAUGGUGUGUAAACUGCUUUUGUACGGGAAGAAACACUCCCUCGUGAGGGAGCUUGACGGUACCGUAAGAAUAAGGAUCGGCUAACUCCGUGCCAGCAGCCGCGGUAAUACGGAGGAUCCAAGCGUUAUCCGGAAUCAUUGGGUUUAAAGGGUCCGUAGGCGGUUUAAUAAGUCAGUGGUGAAAGCCCAUCGCUCAACGAUGGAACGGCCAUUGAUACUGUUAGACUUGAAUUACAAGGAAGUAACUAGAAUAUGUAGUGUAGCGGUGAAAUGCUUAGAUAUUACAUGGAAUACCAAUUGCGAAGGCAGGUUACUACUUGUGGAUUGACGCUGAUGGACGAAAGCGUGGGGAGCGAACAGGAUUAGAAACCCUGGUAGUCC